CGGGUGCCUAGCACAUGCACGUCGAACGAGAAAGGGUAGUAAUACCUGAUUAAAGUGGCGCACGGGUGAGUAACACGUGAUUACCCUACCCUUGAGUGGGGGAUAUCUGAGGGAAACCUUGUUUAAUACCGUAUAAUACCUACGGGUCAAAGGAGNAUUUCGCUUANGGAGGGGGUCGCGGCCGUUUAGUUAGUUGGGGGGGUAAUGCCCCACCAAGACAGUGAUCGGUUUCCGCCCUGAGAGGGCGCACGGACACACUGGAUCUGAAACACGGCCCAGUCUCCUACGGGAGGAAGAAGUGGGGAAUGUGGCGCAAUGGGGGAACCCCUGACGCAGCACCGCCGCGUGGAGGAUGAAGUCCUUCG
This 365-nucleotide ribosomal RNA is filed under the name uncultured bacterium. RNAcentral's name for it is "bacterial SSU rRNA". It matches the Rfam family "Bacterial small subunit ribosomal RNA", at positions 40 to 420 of the family's 1533-position model. The record is from RNAcentral.